RNAcentral lists this ribosomal RNA (484 nucleotides) under uncultured bacterium. Its description in RNAcentral is "partial 16S ribosomal RNA". It matches the Rfam family "Bacterial small subunit ribosomal RNA", at positions 30 to 507 of the family's 1533-position model. The record is from RNAcentral.
AUUGAACGCUGGCGGCAGGCCUAACACAUGCAAGUCGAGCGGAUGAAGGGAGCUUGCUCCUGGAUUCAGCGGUGGACGGGUGAGUAAUGCCUAGGAAUCUGCCUGGUAGUGGGGGAUAACGUCCGGAAACGGGCGCUAAUACCGCAUACGUCCUGAGGGAGAAAGUGGGGGAUCUUCGGACCUCACGCUAUCAGAUGAGCCUAGGUCGGAUUAGCUAGUUGGUGGGGUAAAGGCCUACCAAGGCGACGAUCCGUAACUGGUCUGAGAGGAUGAUCAGUCACACUGGAACUGAGACACGGUCCAGACUCCUACGGGAGGCAGCAGUGGGGAAUAUUGGACAAUGGGCGAAAGCCUGAUCCAGCCGUGCCGCGUGUGUGAAGAAGGUCUUCGGAUUGUAAAGCACUUUAAGUUGGGAGGAAGGGCAGUAAGUUAAUACCUUGCUGUUUUGACGUUACCAACAGAAUAAGCACCGGCUAACUUCGUG